CCAGAUGACUGCGUGGGGCUGAAAAGAUCAAUAGCGCGGCGCUGCCCAGCAGAUGCAGAGACAUGCGCCCCUUCUACCAUUGCACGCCGCGCCAAACCCGAGCACUACAUUCAAUAAAAGCAAAAGGACAAUCGCAGAGCCAAAGGGAAACUCGCGCGAUAAUUUGCAGAAACGUUCGUAGCGGCGCAGGAAAGUAAAAGUUGCGACGUGAACACUAUGCAGGUUCAAGGCUUUUGAUAAGAACACGAGGAAACAUUUUUGAGCGAGGUCUGUUCGCUGGCAAACGUUGCUUCGCUUCGUGCCAUGAUGUAAAUAAAAAGAAGGUUCGUUGGAAACUUCCUUUGUUGAGAAGCACAGAAAAAAUGAAAAAGUGCCGCCCAACAGAGAGCUUGAACAGGCAAAUAUGUGCACAAGUAUUUGCCACUGGCUUUGUGCUUGGAAUGGUCUACUGCACCUACUCAACCUAUUAUCUCAGCCAAUAUGAGAGCUUUGGCGAAAUUUUCAAAAGCAAGUGGUUCAAGAGUUACGAUCAAACUUUGAUACAGCGUUUGCUGAAAACAAAAAUGCCAGGAAAGGAUGUGAUAAUAGAGAAAUUUUUUGAGGAGCACGCCUCAAUGAUGACCAAAGUAGUGGCAGAUCAAAUGAGAAUUCUGUGCUGGGUCUGCACGUCCAACAACACUCACAAAUCGAAAGCAAUGCACGUGAAAGCGACGUGGAGCAGACGUUGCGACAAAGUCAUCUUCGUAAGCGAAACAGAAGAUGACGAAUUGCCGACUUUAAAAAUUGAGGCGCCGAACGGUAGGGAAGGAUUGUGGGUGAAAACGGUCAACGCUUUUAAAUAUGUCCAUGAAAAUUUCAUAAAUGACUACGACUGGUUUUUCAAAGCUGAUGACGACGCAUAUGUUGUUAUAGAAAAUAUGCGGAAGAUGCUUCUUCCCUACAAUCCUGAUGAACCUGCAUAUUUUGGGUACCACUUCAAGCAACUUGUCUUGAAUGGGUACAUGGCAGGCGGAGGAGGUUAUGUGUUGAGCCGACAUACUCUGAAAAGACUCGUGACUGAAGCGUUUGUUGGCAACAGAACUAAUUGUCCUUUGACGCCACCAGGCAUGCCAAUUGAGGACUUCUUCAUUGGCACUUGCUUGCAAGAUAUUGGAAUCAACCCAUCGGACUCUAGAGACUUUAAAGGACAUUUUAGAUUUUUCCCAACCAACAUUGAUAGAUAUGUGUCAACUGACCUUUCAGACCAAGAUUGGUUUUAUAGACUUCUCUACUGGCCAUAUAAAGAGAAAUCGGAUUGCUGCAGCAAAGCCCCGAUUAGUUUUCAUUACAUGACGCCAGACAGAUUUUAUAUGAUGGAGUACUUGGUGUACAAUCUGAACAUCUUCAGCGUUACGGACCUUGAGAGGGUUUGAAACUUGCGGCAAUUUUCAGAAUUAUGCUGUCAAAGACCAACACAUUUGCUUAAAUCUUUUAAUAGAAGUUGCCGACAUAUCCGGAGUUCUCGUGGAUGUCGUCGCGGCCCUCGCGGCCCCGACCGCGGCCCUCGGCGUCGAAACGCUCCCUGUGGGCGCCCGUGUACUGCGAGGCGUCCGUGAGGCGGUCGACGCCGCCGCUCUUCACGGCCUUGGUGGCCCCCUGCGUGCCGGGGGCGCCGCAGUCCACCAGCUUCUCCUUGAUCUCCUCCACGGCCAUCUUGCUGCUGAGCUCGUCCAGGUACUUGAGGAACGUGUCGAAGUUCAUGGUUUUGCCCUUGAAUUUGUUGAAGGCGAUGCCGGUGUCCGUGGUGGUGAUCUUUUUGGCGAUCACGCCCGCCUGCUUGAACCACUUGUCGGCGUUCUUCAGCGUGAUCGUCGAGCCGUCGUUCUUCGACUCGCCGAAUUUGGCGAAAAGGGCGAAUUGUUCUUUCAGCUGCGCGUCGACCAUCUAAUUUUUGUGGAAUUUAAAGGAAAGAACGUUUCAGUUUUGAAUUUUAUACCUUUUAAAAGUCCAAGAACUUUUCGAUCAGCAAGUAAAAUGAAGAGUUUCAAGAACGGAC
RNA transcript from Neocloeon triangulifer, 2035 nucleotides. It is a transcript of the gene named glycoprotein-N-acetylgalactosamine 3-beta-galactosyltransferase 1-like, with no coding region annotated. The transcript is spliced from 10 exons. Lineage: Eukaryota; Metazoa; Arthropoda; Insecta; Ephemeroptera; Baetidae. The record is from RefSeq and is a predicted model, not a curated record.